UACGUAGGGUGCAAGCGUUGUCCGGAAUCAUUGGGCGUAAAGCGCACGUAGGCGGCCCCGUAAGUCGGACGUGAAAUCCCACGGCUCAACCGUGGAAGUGCAUCCGAAACUGUGGGGCUCGAGUAUGGAAGAGGGUCGCAGAAUUCCCGGUGUAGAGGUGAAAUUCGUAGAUAUCGGGAGGAAUACCAGUGGCGAAGGCGGCGACCUGGGCCAAUACUGACGCUGAGGUGCGAAAGCGUGGGGAGCAAACAGG
RNAcentral lists this ribosomal RNA (253 nucleotides) under uncultured bacterium. RNAcentral describes it as "partial 16S ribosomal RNA". It matches the Rfam family "Bacterial small subunit ribosomal RNA", at positions 524 to 776 of the family's 1533-position model. The record is from RNAcentral.